This 251-nucleotide unclassified non-coding RNA is filed under the name uncultured Stemphylium. RNAcentral describes it as "sequence contains ITS2". The stretch from base 1 to 52 matches the Rfam family "5.8S ribosomal RNA", at positions 103 to 154 of the family's 154-position model. The record is from RNAcentral. Lineage: Eukaryota; Fungi; Ascomycota; Dothideomycetes; Pleosporales; Pleosporaceae.
AACGCACAUUGCGCCCUUUGGUAUUCCAAAGGGCAUGCCUGUUCGAGCGUCAUUUGUACCCUCAAGCUUUGCUUGGUGUUGGGCGUCCUUGUCUCUCACGAGACUCGCCUUAAAAUGAUUGGCAGCCGACCUACUGGUUUCGGAGCGCAGCACAAUUCUUGCACUUUGAAUCAGCCUUGGUUGAGCAUCCAUCAAGACCACAUUUUUUAACUUUUGACCUCGGAUCAGGUAGGGAUACCCGCUGAACUUAA